AAUUUCUUUUCCACUAUCAAAGCAUUAUUUCAUUGAGUAAUUUCAUCAAACACUUCUGUACAUACAGAAUGCGAUAAUGGCUCCUCAUUGGAACGUCAACGCCCACUCUAUAAUCUACAUAACUAGAGAAAACAGCCAAUUAUAGGUGGUGGGUCACACCGUGAAUCUGGUUUUCGAUGGCGAGGUCAAAGAAAAGCAUUUGAUUAUAAUCCCACAGAACUUCGUCGUGAUAAAGAAGGCCGGAGAUCAAGGCUGCGAGUGGAUAGCUUUUAAAACUAAUGACAAUGCAAUGAUCAGCCCACUUGAGGGAAGGCUAUCGACAUUUCGGUCGAUGCCAGUAGAUGUGUUGACGAAUGCAUAUCGAGUUUCGAAGCAAGAAGCCCAGUUUUUUAAGUUCAGUUGGGAUGAAUCCACACUUUUUAGUUCCAGUUCUUUCAGUUUUUCGAAG
Molecule: long non-coding RNA, 448 nt
Filed under: Olea europaea subsp. europaea
Lineage: Eukaryota; Viridiplantae; Streptophyta; Magnoliopsida; Lamiales; Oleaceae
Source: RNAcentral